UUCGUAGGCGGUGCGGCAAGUUGGGAGUGAAAUCUCUGGGCUUAACCCAGAGGCUGCUUCCAGAACUGCUGUGCUUGAGUGUGGGAGAGGCGCGUGGAAUUGCAGGUGUAGCGGUGAAAUGCGUAGAUAUCUGCAGGAACACCCGUGGCGAAAGCGGCGCGCUGGACCACAACUGACGCUGAGGAACGAAAGCUAGGGGAGCAAACAGGAUUAGAUACCCUGGUAGUCCUAGCCCUAAACGAUCAGGACUUGGGGUGCCGCCCGUUCGGGCGUCGUCCCGGAGCUAACGCGUUAAGUCCUGCACCUGGGGAGUACGGUCGCAAGACUGAA
RNAcentral lists this ribosomal RNA (330 nucleotides) under uncultured bacterium. RNAcentral describes it as "bacterial SSU rRNA". It matches the Rfam family "Bacterial small subunit ribosomal RNA", at positions 568 to 898 of the family's 1533-position model. The record is from RNAcentral.